This 261-nucleotide long non-coding RNA is filed under the name Musa acuminata (dwarf banana). RNAcentral's name for it is "long non-coding RNA (MACU_LNC006494)". Lineage: Eukaryota; Viridiplantae; Streptophyta; Magnoliopsida; Zingiberales; Musaceae. The record is from RNAcentral.
UUCUUGCAACAAAACUCUCAUGGGAGAAUUUGGUCCUUCAUGAGGAAAAGGAUAGCACUGCUCGUCUCCUGUUUUCUUCAACACCACAAGAGAAACCUACCUUUUUUAACAACUACUGUAUCAUAUUAGCAUCAAGAAGAAGGUUACAUCAAGAAUAGUUUACACUUCUUUUUCUUUAGAGUAAUGUUUAGAAGACAAGAUACAAUCAUCUAAAUUGAUUUGGACAUGUUCUAGAGAAACCUACAGGUUAUAUAGUUAGAU